GAUGAACGCUGGCGGCGUGCUUAACACAUGCAAGUCGAACGAUGAUGCCCACUUGUGGGUGGAUUAGUGGCGAACGGGUGAGUAACACGUGAGUAACCUGCCCUUGACUCUGGGAUAAGCCUGGGAAACUGGGUCUAAUACCGGAUAUGACCUUCCAUCGCAUGGUGGUUGGUGGAAAGCUUUUGUGGUUUUGGAUGGACUCGCGGCCUAUCAGCUUGUUGGUGAGGUAAUGGCUUACCAAGGCGACGACGGGUAGCCGGCCUGAGAGGGUGACCGGCCACACUGGGACUGAGACACGGCCCAGACUCCUACGGGAGGCAGCAGUGGGGAAUAUUGCACAAUGGGCGCAAGCCUGAUGCAGCGACGCCGCGUGAGGGAUGACGGCCUUCGGGUUGUAAACCUCUUUCAGUAGGGAAGAAGCGAAAGUGACGGUACCUGCAGAAGAAGCGCCGGCUAACUACGUGCCAGCAGCCGCCGUAACAC
Molecule: ribosomal RNA, 483 nt
Filed under: uncultured bacterium
Lineage: Bacteria
Description: bacterial SSU rRNA
Rfam family: Bacterial small subunit ribosomal RNA
Source: RNAcentral